Molecule: ribosomal RNA, 433 nt
Filed under: uncultured bacterium
Lineage: Bacteria
Description: partial 16S ribosomal RNA
Rfam family: Bacterial small subunit ribosomal RNA
Source: RNAcentral
AACGAACGCUGGCGGCAGGCCUAACACAUGCAAGUCGAGCGAGAUCUUCGGGUCUAGCGGCGGACGGGUGAGUAACGCGUGGGAAUAUGCCUCUUGGUACGGAAUAGCCUCGGGAAACUGGGAGUAAUACCGUAUGUGCCCUUUGGGGGAAAGAUUUAUCGCCAAGAGAUUAGCCCGCGUUGGAUUAGGUAGUUGGUGGGGUAAUGGCCUACCAAGCCGACGAUCCAUAGCUGGUUUGAGAGGAUGAUCAGCCACACUGGGACUGAGACACGGCCCAGACUCCUACGGGAGGCAGCAGUGGGGAAUCUUAGACAAUGGGGGCAACCCUGAUCUAGCCAUGCCGCGUGAGUGAUGAAGGCCUUAGGGUUGUAAAGCUCUUUCGGCUGGGAAGAUAAUGACGGUACCAGCAGAAGAAGCCCCGGCUAACUCCGUG